This 993-nucleotide long non-coding RNA is filed under the name Homo sapiens (human). RNAcentral's name for it is "HSALNT0375343". Lineage: Eukaryota; Metazoa; Chordata; Mammalia; Primates; Hominidae. The record is from RNAcentral.
GGUAAAGAGCUGUACCCCCGCUCUGGGGGGUUUAUCAUCAGAAGGAGAGAGACCCGAGGGAGCCACCUGCCCACUCCAGAUGAGGUGCUCCGUGGAACACGAGGAGCACACGAAACCCGAUCAGCUUUGUGUGACUUCCGCGUGUGGGGUGGCACGCGUGUGCUUGCUAUUCAUUGUUUCUGCUGGGGGCAUUUUUAUCUUUUGAAAUUCUUUCUUCUGAACCUUUCGUGCCUACCAGAACCAGCCUGUCAGGAUGCGCCUGAUCUCCACAGCAGCCCCUCCAUCCGACUCUGAAGAAGCCGUCAGCUCACAGAAGAUUCCUUUUGUUUAAUGAGUAACAGCUACUGACUCACUCCAUGGCCCACCAGAAUGACAGACUCCUGUUCAAAAGCCUGAUCUGAAGUUGCUGCCAUGACACAAGCAAUGCCUGUGAAGUGCCUGCAGCCCACGCCUCUGAGACAGGCCAGGCGUGUGGUGGACACGCAGCUGCAGGCGCUUGCUCUCUGUCAUCACGAGAAAAAGUAUCCCUGCACCGGACAAGAAAGGACCUGCAGGCACACUCACAAUCAACUUCCUGAUUUCACAAUGAUGCGAACUCUCCAUCGGGACAUGGGACCUGGCUGUACGAGUUAAUUCAAACUGAGCCACUUUCCAUUAGGGCACCAAAUGGAGUUAGCAAUCCAAGAUUAUUUUAUUUUCUGGGCUAUCCAGAUGACUUAAAGCCUCGCUGAAGUUCCCAUGAGAAGAGUUUAAACAACCCAAAGAAAGCACAUCAUGGUCGACUGCAGGGAACUGAAACUACAGAAAUGAACACUUCCAAUAAGAGGCAACUACUGUUCUCAAACGGAAAUCUGACUUUAAAUAUAAAGUCACAGAUGGGUUGAUGUGAAUAGAUUCAAGAAAAGAUAUACCACACAAGCAUAAAGCAUAACAGCCUCAAGUGGGUAUCUUUCUAUCAGAAAAUAGAUAUUAAGACAAAAACAUUACCAGAGA